This 253-nucleotide ribosomal RNA is filed under the name uncultured bacterium. RNAcentral describes it as "partial 16S ribosomal RNA". It matches the Rfam family "Bacterial small subunit ribosomal RNA", at positions 524 to 776 of the family's 1533-position model. The record is from RNAcentral.
UACGUAGGUCCCGAGCGUUGUCCGGAUUUAUUGGGCGUAAAGCGAGCGCAGGCGGACUUUUAAGUGAGAUGUGAAAUACUCGGGCUCAACUUGAGUGCUGCAUUUCAAACUGGAAGUCUAGAGUGCAGGAGAGGAGAAUGGAAUUCCUAGUGUAGCGGUGAAAUGCGUAGAGAUUAGGAAGAACACCAGUGGCGAAGGCGAUUCUCUGGACUGUAACUGACACUGAGGCUCGAAAGCGUGGGGAGCAAACAGG